GUUUGGCUAUGCCGAUGCUGAAGUGAGCGUAA
This 32-nucleotide non-coding RNA is filed under the name Syntrophotalea carbinolica DSM 2380. The record is from RNAcentral. Lineage: Bacteria; Pseudomonadati; Thermodesulfobacteriota; Desulfuromonadia; Desulfuromonadales; Syntrophotaleaceae.